This 287-nucleotide long non-coding RNA is filed under the name Populus trichocarpa (black cottonwood). RNAcentral's name for it is "long non-coding RNA (PTRI_LNC003936)". The record is from RNAcentral. Lineage: Eukaryota; Viridiplantae; Streptophyta; Magnoliopsida; Malpighiales; Salicaceae.
UCAUCUUUCACUUUCUUGGGUCGCCUGUUCUCUCUCUAUAAUUGUCUCUCUGCAUCUGUGUUUAUAUUCUUCGUUCAGCCCCCCUGUGUUGUCCCUCCUGUUUUGUUCUCUGGUUUCCUUUGUCCGUCCACUGGUUUUCUCGGUUUUCUUCCGCUUCCCUUCUUUCUCCUCUGUUUUGGUCCUCUAUUGUGAUUCUCCUCUGGAGAGCUCAGGUUCUGGUGCAGUUGUUGCUGAAGAUAGAGACCUAGCCUACUCGGAGUGCUGGAUCGAAGAAAGGAAGCUUACUG